Molecule: long non-coding RNA, 159 nt
Organism: Homalodisca vitripennis (glassy-winged sharpshooter)
Lineage: Eukaryota; Metazoa; Arthropoda; Insecta; Hemiptera; Cicadellidae
Exons: 2
Source: RefSeq, a predicted model, not a curated record
AAAAAAGUGGAUUUUUUAGAACAACACAUAACAGUUCAUGUGAUUUAUCAUACAAAUUUAUUAAACUGUACAUCAGUAAACAACCUAUUUUGGAGGUAGGAUAUCAUGAAAGAGUGUUGUACUGGUGGGAAUUUUCCAAAAGUGGAUUGGCAACACUGG